AUGGAGACCGGCAGGCAAACAGGUGUGUCUGCUGAGAUGCUCGCCAUGCCCCGAGGUCUGAAGGGCAGCAAGAAGGAUGGAAUCCCUGAGGACCUAGACGGGAACUUGGAAGCACCCAGGGAUCAGGAAGGUGAGCUCAGGAGUGAGGAUGUCAUGGACCUCACAGAAGGUGACAGUGAGGCCUCAGCCUCAACUCCUCCUGCAGCCAAAAGACGGAAAACACAUACGAAAGGC
Molecule: long non-coding RNA, 234 nt
Filed under: Homo sapiens (human)
Lineage: Eukaryota; Metazoa; Chordata; Mammalia; Primates; Hominidae
Description: non-protein coding lnc-MYO10-12:1
Source: RNAcentral